This 505-nucleotide ribosomal RNA is filed under the name Salmonella enterica. Its description in RNAcentral is "partial 23S ribosomal RNA". It matches the Rfam family "Bacterial large subunit ribosomal RNA", at positions 1273 to 1773 of the family's 2925-position model. The record is from RNAcentral. Lineage: Bacteria; Pseudomonadati; Pseudomonadota; Gammaproteobacteria; Enterobacterales; Enterobacteriaceae. RNAcentral also lists the same sequence under 1 other name.
CUGGAGGUAUCAGAAGUGCGAAUGCUGACAUAAGUAACGAUAAAGCGGGUGAAAAGCCCGCUCGCCGGAAGACCAAGGGUUCCUGUCCAACGUUAAUCGGGGCAGGGUGAGUCGACCCCUAAGGCGAGGCCGAAAGGCGUAGUCGAUGGGAAACGGGUUAAUAUUCCCGUACUUGGUGUUACUGCGAAGGGGGGACGGAGAAGGCUAUGUUGGCCGGGCGACGGUUGUCCCGGUUUAAGCGUGUAGGUGUGUGUUCCAGGUAAAUCCGGUUCACUUUAACACUGAGGCGUGACGACGAGGCACUACGGUGCUGAAGCAACAAAUGCCCUGCUUCCAGGAAAAGCCUCUAAGCAUCAGGUAACAUCAAAUCGUACCCCAAACCGACACAGGUGGUCAGGUAGAGAAUACCAAGGCGCUUGAGAGAACUCGGGUGAAGGAACUAGGCAAAAUGGUGCCGUAACUUCGGGAGAAGGCACGCUGACAUGUAGGUGAAGUGAUUUACUCA